This 309-nucleotide ribosomal RNA is filed under the name uncultured eukaryote. Its description in RNAcentral is "partial large subunit ribosomal RNA". It matches the Rfam family "Eukaryotic large subunit ribosomal RNA", at positions 40 to 350 of the family's 3401-position model. The record is from RNAcentral.
AUAUCACUAAGCGGAGGAAAAGAAAUUAACUAAGAUUGCCUCAGUAACGGCGAGUGAACCGGCAAGAGCCCAAACUGGAAAUCUUCACACUUCGUGUGACGAAUUGUAAUCUAAAGGUGGUUUGCUCACCGGACGGUGGCGCAGAAGUAUAUUGAAAGAUACGCCAUAGAGGGUGACAGCCCCGUAUGUGGUGCCACUGUCUAACGAGCAGGCUUCCAAAGAGUCGGGUUGUUUUGUAUUGCAGCCCUAAGCGGGAGAUAAACUUCUUCUAAGGCUAAAUAUAUAUGGGAGACCGAUAGCGCACAAGUA